UACGGAGGGAGCUAGCGUUGUUCGGAAUUACUGGGCGUAAAGCGCACGUAGGCGGCUUUGUAAGUUGGAGGUGAAAGCCCGGGGCUCAACUCCGGAACUGCCUUUAAGACUGCAUCGCUUGAAUCCGGGAGAGGUGAGUGGAAUUCCGAGUGUAGAGGUGAAAUUCGUAGAUAUUCGGAAGAACACCAGUGGCGAAGGCGGCUCACUGGCCCGGUACUGACGCUGAGGUGCGAAAGCGUGGGGAGCAAACAGG
This 253-nucleotide ribosomal RNA is filed under the name uncultured bacterium. RNAcentral's name for it is "partial 16S ribosomal RNA". It matches the Rfam family "Bacterial small subunit ribosomal RNA", at positions 524 to 776 of the family's 1533-position model. The record is from RNAcentral.